This 1486-nucleotide ribosomal RNA is filed under the name uncultured bacterium. RNAcentral describes it as "bacterial SSU rRNA". It matches the Rfam family "Bacterial small subunit ribosomal RNA". The record is from RNAcentral.
UGAGUUUGAUCAUGGCUCAGGAUGAACGCUAGCGGGAGGCUUAACACAUGCAAGCCGAGGGAGAAGUUGUCUUCGGACAGCGGACACCGGCGGACGGGUGAGUAACAUGUAUGCAACUUGCCCCUAUCAGUGAGAUAACCCGGGGAAACUCGGACUAAUAUCACAUAACAAACGAAAUAGCAUUAUUUUGUUUUAAAAGAUUUAUCGGAUAGGGAUAGGCAUGCGUAGGAUUAGUUAGUUGGUGAGGUAACGGCUCACCAAGACGAUGAUCCUUAGGGGGCCUGAGAGGGUGAUCCCCCACACUGGUACUGAGACACGGACCAGACUCCUACGGGAGGCAGCAGUGAGGAAUAUUGGACAAUGGGUGAGAGCCUGAUCCAGCCAUCCCGCGUGCAGGAAGACGGCCCUAUGGGUUGUAAACUGCUUUUAUACAGGAAUAAACCUACUCACGUGUGAGUAGUUGAAGGUACUGUAGGAAUAAGCAUCGGCUAACUCCGUGCCAGCAGCCGCGGUAAUACGGAGGAUGCAAGCGUUAUCCGGAUUUAUUGGGUUUAAAGGGUCCGUAGGCGGGCUAAUAAGUCAGUGGUGAAAUCAAGCAGCUUAACUGUUUAACUGCCAUUGAUACUGUUAGUCUUGAGUGGAAUUUGAAGUUUGCCGGAAUAUGUAGUGUAGCGGUGGAAAAUGCAUAGGAUUAUUACAUAGAACACCUAUUGCGAAGGCAGGUAAUUAAGAUUUAACUGACGUUGAUGGACGAAAGCGUGGGGGAGCGAACAGGAUUAGAUACCCUGGUAGUCCACGCCGUAAACGAUGAUUACUCGUUUUUGGUAUUUAAUAUCAGAGACCAAGCGAAAGUGAUAAGUAAUCCACCUGGGGAGUACGUUCGCAAGAAUGAAACUCAAAGGAAUUGACGGGGGCCCGCACAAGCGGUGGAGCAUGUGGUUUAAUUCGAUGAUACGCGAGGAACCUUACCAAGGCUUAAAUGCAUAAUGACAGAUCCAGAAAUGGAUUUUUCUUCGGACAGAAUGCAAGGUGCUGCAUGGCUGUCGUCAGCUCGUGCCGUGAGGUGUUAGGUUAAGUCCUGCAACGAGCGCAACCCCUAUCAUUAGUUGCCAGCGUUUAAAGACGGGGACUCUAAUGAGACUGCCGGUGCAAACCGCGAGGAAGGUGGGGACGACGUCAAGUCAUCACGGCCCUUACGUCUUGGGCUACACACGUGCUACAAUGGUUGGUACAGAGGGCAGCUACACAGCGAUGUGAUGCGAAUCUCAAAAACCAAUCUCAGUUCGGAUUGGAGUCUGCAACUCGACUCUAUGAAGCUGGAAUCGCUAGUAAUCGCAAAUCAGCAAUGUUGCGGUGAAUACGUUCCCGGGCCUUGUACACACCGCCCGUCAAGCCAUGGAAGCUGGGGGUACCUGAAGUUGGUGACCGUAAAAGGAGCUACCUAGGGUAAAACUGGUAACUGGGGCUAAGUCGUAACAAGGUAACA